This 67-nucleotide transfer RNA is filed under the name Bactrocera oleae (olive fruit fly). RNAcentral's name for it is "tRNA-Ser". The record is from RNAcentral. Lineage: Eukaryota; Metazoa; Arthropoda; Insecta; Diptera; Tephritidae.
AGUCAAUGAGCUUGAACAAGCGUGUGUUUUGAAAACACAAGAUAGAAAUUAACCUUUCUAUUGACUU